Molecule: small RNA, 201 nt
Filed under: Jaculus jaculus (lesser Egyptian jerboa)
Lineage: Eukaryota; Metazoa; Chordata; Mammalia; Rodentia; Dipodidae
Description: 7SK RNA (ENSJJAG00000006391.1)
Rfam family: 7SK RNA
About the family: 7SK was discovered as an abundant small nuclear RNA in the mid-70s but a possible function has only recently been suggested. Two independent studies have found that 7SK RNA binds the CDK9/cyclin T complex (known as elongation factor P-TEFb). P-TEFb activates transcription by phosphorylating the C-terminal domain of RNA polymerase II.
Source: RNAcentral
AGAUUCAUAUACAUAAUCCUUAGCUCUUAUUGUUCCACAUGCCAAAGUAUGGUUGAGGAGGAUAACCUUCUACAAAUAGAGGGCCAGUCUUUGGUCAGGGGUAUAUGAGUACUUGUACUCCCCUGCUAGAACCUCCAAACAAGCUCUUAGAUACAUGAUCCUCUGGUGACAUUUUACAUUCAAACCACUGUAAGGGGAUUU